GUGCUCGCCCUGGCAGUACAUAUACUAAAAUUUGAAUGAUACAGAGAAGAUAAGAACGGCUCCUGCACAGGGAUGACAUGCAAAUUUGUUAAGUGUUCCAUAUUUUU
RNAcentral lists this small nuclear RNA (107 nucleotides) under Dasypus novemcinctus (nine-banded armadillo). The record is from RNAcentral. Lineage: Eukaryota; Metazoa; Chordata; Mammalia; Cingulata; Dasypodidae.